GCGAGGGUGGCGAAACUGGCAAACGCAAGGGCCUUAAAAGCCCUCGUCUACAACGACUUGCGGGUUCAAGCCCCGCCCCUCGCACCA
RNAcentral lists this transfer RNA (87 nucleotides) under Nitrospira sp. RNAcentral describes it as "tRNA-Leu". It matches the Rfam family "tRNA". From Rfam's summary of the family: Transfer RNA (tRNA) molecules are approximately 80 nucleotides in length. Their secondary structure includes four short double-helical elements and three loops (D, anti-codon, and T loops). The record is from RNAcentral. Lineage: Bacteria; Pseudomonadati; Nitrospirota; Nitrospiria; Nitrospirales; Nitrospiraceae. RNAcentral also lists the same sequence under 2 other names.